RNAcentral lists this microRNA precursor (103 nucleotides) under Marmota monax (woodchuck). Lineage: Eukaryota; Metazoa; Chordata; Mammalia; Rodentia; Sciuridae. The record is from RNAcentral.
AGUGGGUUAGCUGGGUCAGAUGGUGGAUCCAUUUCUCCAUUUUUAAGGAAUCUCCAUACUGCUUUCCAGAGUGGUUGCACUAAUUUGUAGUCCCACCAACAAU